GACGUAAGGUGCAAGCGUUAUCCGGAUUUACUGGGCGUAAAGGGCGUCUAGGCGGUUUUGUAAGUCAGAGGUGAAAAGUCGGGGCUCAACCCCGGCCUUGCCUUUGAAACUACAGAACUAGAGUACGGGAGAGGAGGGCGGAACUACAAGUGUAGCGGUGAAAUGCGUAGAUAUUUGUAGGAAUGCCAAUGACGAAGGUAGCUCUCUGGACCGAUACUGACGCUGAAGCGCGAAAGCUAGGGUAGCAAACAGG
This 253-nucleotide ribosomal RNA is filed under the name uncultured bacterium. Its description in RNAcentral is "partial 16S ribosomal RNA". It matches the Rfam family "Bacterial small subunit ribosomal RNA", at positions 524 to 776 of the family's 1533-position model. The record is from RNAcentral.